RNAcentral lists this ribosomal RNA (406 nucleotides) under uncultured bacterium. RNAcentral's name for it is "partial 16S ribosomal RNA". It matches the Rfam family "Bacterial small subunit ribosomal RNA", at positions 28 to 526 of the family's 1533-position model. The record is from RNAcentral.
GAUGAACGCUAGCUACAGGCUUAACACAUGCAAGUCGAGGGACCGGCGCACGGGUGAGUAACACGUAUCCAACCUGCCCUUUACUCGGGGAUAGCAUUUCGAAAGAAAGAUUAAUACCCGAUAUAAAGGAUGGGGAUGCGUUCCAUUAGGUUGGUGGUGAGGUAACGUCCAACCAAGCCUUCGAUGGAUAGGGGUUCUGAGAGGAAGUUCCCCGACUGUGGACCUGAGACACGGUCCAAAUGCCUACGUGAGGCAGCAGUGAUGAAUAUUGGUCAAUGGGCGCUAGCCUGAACCAGCCAAGUAGCGUGAAGGAUGAAGGCUUAUGGGUCGUAAACUUCUUUUAUAUAAGAAUAUGUAUUAUAUGAAUAAGGAUCGGCUAACUCCGUGCCAGCAGCCGCGGUAAUUC